GAUGAACGCUGGCGGCGUGCCUAACACAUGCAAGUCGAACGGUGAAGCGCCUUCCUUUUUGGUGGGUGGGGAUGAGCGGCGAACGGGGGAGUAACACGUGAGUAACCUGCCCCCUUCUUCUGGAUAACCGCAUGAAAGUGUGGCUAAUACGGGAUAUUCUGGGCCUGUUGCAUGAUGGGUCUGGGGAAGAUUUCGUUUCGGUUGGGGAUGGGCUCGCGGCCUAUCAGCUUGUUGGUGGGGUGACGGCCUACCAAGGCGGUGAGGAGUAGCCGGCCUGGGAGGGUGGGCGGUCCCGGAGGGGCGACACCGCCCAGACGACUACGGGAGGAGGCAGCAGGGGAUAUUAGGGAACGGUGGGAAGCAUGCUGAAGCAGCGACGCGGCGUGGAGGAAGGAGUCCUUCGGGUUGUGAACUUCUUUCGGGAGUGAAGCAAGCCUGCCUCGUUUGUGGGUGGGUUGACGGUAGCUGAAGAAGAAGCGCCGGCUAACUACGUG
RNAcentral lists this ribosomal RNA (494 nucleotides) under uncultured bacterium. Its description in RNAcentral is "partial 16S ribosomal RNA". It matches the Rfam family "Bacterial small subunit ribosomal RNA", at positions 28 to 507 of the family's 1533-position model. The record is from RNAcentral.